AAGCACUUUGUUUUGAAUCUUCGGAGGAAGAACGAAGUGACUGAGCGGCGGACGGGUGAGUAACGCGUGGGCAACCUGCCUCAUACAGGGGGAUAACAGUUAGAAAUGACUGCUAAUACCGCAUAAGACCACGGUGCUGCAUGGUACAGUGGUAAAAACUCCGGUGGUAUGAGAUGGGCCCGCGUCUGAUUAGCUAGUUGGUGAGGUAACGGCUCACCAAGGCAACGAUCAGUAGCCGACCUGAGAGGGUGACCGGCCACAUUGGGACUGAGACACGGCCCAAACUCCUACGGGAGGCAGCAGUGGGGAAUAUUGCACAAUGGGGGAAACCCUGAUGCAGCGACGCCGCGUGAGCGAUGAAGUAUUUCGGUAUGUAAAGCUCUAUCAGCAGGGAAGAAAAUGACGGUACCUGACUAAGAAGCCCCGGCUAACUACGUGCCAGCAGCCGCGGUAAUACGUAGGGGGCAAGCGUUAUCCGGAUUUACUGGGUGUAAAGGGAGCGUAGACGGCGAUGCAAGCCAGAUGUGAAAGCCCGGGGCUCAACCCCGGGACUGCAUUUGGAACUGUAUAGCUAGAGUGUCGGAGAGGCAGGCGGAAUUCCUAGUGUAGCGGUGAAAUGCGUAGAUAUUAGGAGGAACACCAGUGGCGAAGGCGGCCUGCUGGACGAUGACUGACGUUGAGGCUCGAAAGCGUGGGGAGCAAACAGGAUUAGAUACCCUGGUAGUCCACGCCGUAAACGAUGACUACUAGGUGUCGGGCAGCAAAGCU
This 768-nucleotide ribosomal RNA is filed under the name uncultured bacterium. Its description in RNAcentral is "bacterial SSU rRNA". It matches the Rfam family "Bacterial small subunit ribosomal RNA", at positions 64 to 837 of the family's 1533-position model. The record is from RNAcentral.